CGAUGAUCCAUCCGGCUCAAUCAUGACUCUACCAAGUCUGUCCUUUUGACCAGGAGCUAGAGCAGACAUCGUAUCAUAUGGUGUAGCACUAGGUGUAGCUGUAGACGAGGGUGAUACAUCAAGAUGCACAAAACGCUGAGUCAAUGGAGGCGUACCGGCCAUAGCAUCUGACUGCUCGCUACUAGAAUCUCCAAGCCUCAUGGCAGAUAACUAAGGAGAUGUACAUGUGGGAGAUGGAGUACCUGCCGAUAAGGGUCGUGCUCGACGAAUAGCCUGUAAAGGUAGGUCCUCGUAGCGUCGUGAAGGCAAUGGCUGUGAAGUAACUGAAGCACCGACUGGUCGACGAUAAUUAGGAUAAUAUUGUCGAGGAUCCGUUGUACCAAACGGAACAACAAAUAAAUGAGUAUCAUGGCUGAUGCGCUCUGGAGCAAAAGAAAUAGAUCCUGCAAUAUCCUCAGGAUAUAUCGGUCUCCUAGAAUUCUUCUUCUUAGCCUGUUUAGUCUGGCUAACUCCAAGAUGCUCGUGAUGUCUAUCAUCGUCACCGCCUGAUGACAUAUGUAUGCAAAUUUACAUGUAUAAUAUAUAUAAAAAUCAUAAAUUAAAUAAAAUUAGCAAAAUACAGUUACAUAUAUACUAGCUAGCUUUCAUUCUACACUAUUCCUCCUCGCUUGUUUCAAUUCCAUCAUUCUCCCAUUCUUCUUCCUCAGUUUGUUUCAUUUUUCAAUUAUCGUCCCAUUCUUCGUCAUCAAAUGAUUCAUUUUCCUUAUUCUCAGAUAUUUCUUCCUCAACGUUCAGUAUCUCAUCAUCAGAUACUUCUUCUAAUAUGUGUUGAGGAUGUUGUAGUAUGGUUUCCAAUUCAACAUCAACUUGUUGUUGAACAAUUGCAAUAUCAUUUUGAUACGCCACAUCUAAGACAUUGUCAAUUUCAAUUCUUCCCACGAGCUCACUUUUUAUAACAACCCACCAAUCAGCUUUGUCUCUACGCAAUGGAUAUGAAGCGUAAUACACUUGUUUAGCAUUUUGUGCAAUAAUAAAAGGAUCAUAACUUAUGUAUUUCCU
This 1059-nucleotide long non-coding RNA is filed under the name Solanum tuberosum (potato). RNAcentral describes it as "long non-coding RNA (STUB_LNC003540)". Lineage: Eukaryota; Viridiplantae; Streptophyta; Magnoliopsida; Solanales; Solanaceae. The record is from RNAcentral.